Long non-coding RNA from Mustela lutreola (European mink), 612 nucleotides. RefSeq lists it as uncharacterized. The record is from RefSeq and is a predicted model, not a curated record. NCBI's taxonomy places the organism in Eukaryota, Metazoa, Chordata, Mammalia, Carnivora, Mustelidae. The transcript has 3 exons.
CAAACAACUACUUGACUAGCCCUGCCUGGAGUGAACAAUUGACAUUUUUUGUCUGCCUGGGAUCUACGCCAUUUUCCUGUGUUUGGAGAAUUUCCACUUGGAGUCUCGGUGGAGGAAGACCCCUGGACACAGUUUCUAGUGAAAUGGGAAUGAAGCUUGUAUCUCAUUUUAAUGAUCCACCCAUGCAAUCUUGCAAUCUUGCUUCAAAGACCCACAAUGCUUUGCCUUCCUGUGGAUCACCCAGAGUGUGCCAAAUUAACAGGUUUGCUUAUUUGAGAGAAGAGAGCGAGAGAGAGAGAAUGUGCGUGCACAAGUGGGGAAAGGGGUAGAAGGAAAGAAACACAAGCAGACUCCAUACUGAAUGUGGAGCCCAACUCAGAGCUCGAUCGCAUGACCCUGACAUCAUGAACAAAGCUGAAAUCAAGAAGCUGAUGGUCAACGAACUGAACCUAGGCACCCCAAUAUAUAUUACUUAAAUAUAUACUUGAACAACACAGGGGUUAGGGCCACCAAUCCCCAGAGUCAAAAAUCCACAUACAACUUUGAUUCCCCAAAAACUUAACUACUAAUAGCAUACUGUUGACCAGAAGCCUUAUCAAUAAAAGAAACAGU